AUGGCCGGUCCCGCUGAUCGCCUCGCCCAGUCGGGGCGCCGGCGCCGCGAGCUCGAGGAGGGCGAGGUCGUCUCCGGCUACAGCACGGGCUCCGACACCGACACCGACGACGAGGACGCGCGCUACUACCUCCACCCAGUGCCCCACCGCGACGACCGCCGGGCGAUGAUGGUCACCGUCGCGCGGCCCGGCCCUGUCCCUGUACUGGAGGACGUGUUCGUCGUCGGCGGCACCGCCGUCUCAAGAUCAAGAUUGGCUACCCUGGACUCUUCGCCCACCUCCUCGCUCCGCUCCGACGGGACCAUCAGAGACGUCGACCGCGCAGGGGGCGAUGCUGCUGCCACCACCGCAUUAUUCCCGGCCUGCCCCGUCUGCCACAGGCAGUUCCACAGCUCCAAGGCCGUGCAUGGCCACAUGAGGGUCCACGCGCAGGCGCAGCCCAGGGAGGAGGACAAGGUGUCUGCUGCUGUCAGCGUCGUGGACGACUCCGUGUCCGUGUCCAUGCCCAAUGUCGUCGCGGAGCCCAAGAUCUUGGACGAUCCCAUGCCCGUGGAGGUGGCCAGCAGCCAUCAGGUUGUCCCCGGCAGCGGCAGCGGCAGCAGCGCAGGCGUGGAGCCCAGUCAGAGUGCUGCUGAUCUUUCCAUGGCCAUCGUGGUGGCAGAGGGAGCACCACCGGCCGCUGCACCCAAGCAAGUCGACAUCGCCCCAACGCCUCCUGCACCCCAGCAAGUCCCCGUCCCCCCUCCGGUCGCGCCAGCACCAGAGCCAGCCGUCGUGUACCUCCACCAGCCCGCCCCCGCACAGCAGCAUGCCUUCGUCCCCCCACCGCAGGCCGCGGCGCCGCUGCAUGCCUUCCACGGGCCGCUGCACAUGAUCCCGCACCAGGACCCGGCCGCCCCGCGUGGGUUCUCGUGCAAGGAGUGCUACCGGUGGUUCCCGACGCACCAGGGACUGGGCGGCCACGUCGCCGGCCACAAGAACCGGCGGAUCGCGGCAGCGGCCGCCGCAGCCAUAGCCGCGGGGAUCGACCCGAUUGACCACGCCGCGGGCGCGCCCAGGCCGGCGAGACAGCACACCUGCAAGGUCUGUGGCGCCGUGUACAGCAGCGGCGUCCGACUCGGGGGCCACAUGAGGAAGCACAGGCAAGCCCAUCGUGCCGAGGAAGCGGGCGCGCCUCCUCCUUCCCCCGGAUCACCUCGGGCUCGCAUUGCCCGGACCGGCGCCACAGGCACCAGCUGCCGAGGUGGCAGUGCAGCCGCCGCAGGCGCCAGCGGUGCCGGCGGGAUGCCUGAGGAUCUUCGGCGUCACCAUCAUGCAGGAGGCGAAGGAGGAGGAGCCCCCCGUCGCCGUCGAGGACAAGCAGUGAUCGAUGAAUACGGCAAACAUGCAGUUUUGAUACAGUAUAUAGUACUCGUAUAA
This 1419-nucleotide ribosomal RNA is filed under the name Triticum aestivum (bread wheat). Its description in RNAcentral is "partial small subunit ribosomal RNA". Lineage: Eukaryota; Viridiplantae; Streptophyta; Magnoliopsida; Poales; Poaceae. The record is from RNAcentral.